RNAcentral lists this long non-coding RNA (1876 nucleotides) under Sarcophilus harrisii (Tasmanian devil). Its description in RNAcentral is "lncRNA (ENSSHAG00000021026.1)". Lineage: Eukaryota; Metazoa; Chordata; Mammalia; Dasyuromorphia; Dasyuridae. The record is from RNAcentral.
UACUUAAAUUAUUUUAAAGAAUUUUUUUUUAAUCUUUGGUAAUGAAUAUUUAAUAUUUUGCAUCUGUCAAGGAGCUAGUUACUGGCCAUUAAUUUCUGGAUUCUGGGUCCACUGCAAAGAACAGUGGAUUGGGAUUUAGUAAAACUAAAUUUUUCUUCCUAACUACUAAACCAGUUGUGUGAUCUUGGGUCAAUGCUUUUUUAAGCAUGAGCUUUAUUACCUGUAAAGUGUGGAAAUUAAACUACAUAACCUCUUAGGUCCUUUUUAGCACUAAUUGUAGUUUAUAUUGUUUAUCCUUGAUUUCAUUGUUAUGAAAAAUUGGAAAUUUCUUAAUAUCAUUGAGCCUCAACUUCUUUAUAAAAUGGGGAUAAUAAUUGCUUUAUAUACCUCACAAAAAUGAUUGUGAGGAUCAGUUGAUAAGAUGUAUACAAGUGCUUUGUAAUAGUAAAGCUAUAUAAAUGUAAACUAUUCUUGAUUUGCACAGCAAUAGAGAAAAGACUUGCUAAAUAUAUGCAUCCCUUCUCUUAAGAUGAUAUUAGAAUUGUCAGUUCUAUUGAUAAUCAUCUUCAAUGAAAAUUGUAUGAGGCUUAAGUAGAAGAUAUGGUUCAAGUCAAUUAUACAUUUUAAAUAAUAUUUUAGACAUUUAGUCUCAAGGCCAAAUGUAUGGGCACAUUUAAGUGAAAUGCUGCUUUAAACACUUGAUUAUCAGUCAUUUGACAAAAUUAUAAUAUUUAAUCAAGUAUAACAGAGCUAUUAAAAAACUUGUGCUUUAGCAAACUAGGUUUUUGUUUUAGAUUUAGAAAGUAUAUUAAUGGAAAUGUAGUACAGGUAAAAGCCACUGGAUUUGAAGUCAUAGAUCCUAAAGUUAAGUUCUAACUACCACUUAUUAGUUAUGAAACUUUAGAUUUCUCUGGGCCUUAGUUAUAUUCUCAGUAAAAAUAGUAAAAUCAGUAAAAAAAAUUUUAAAGCAUCUCCCAGUUCUCCACUUAGACCUUGGUCAUUCAAUUUACAAAUAAAACAGCCAUUUGCUCCAAUCUUGAUAUUCCUCAGAUAUAGACCAUUUGAUUUGCCAUAACUAUACCACUGUCUUCCAAUGAAUGCCUUAAAAAAAACCCAAAAACAAAGUUUCUGGUUUUGUGAUAGUAUUCUAAAACCAAAGUUUAAGUAAUCUAAAGAUUAGGGGAUGAAAGAUAGAAAAUAAAAAAACUGUCCUUUUGGUUGGAAAUACCGAGAAACAGAAUCUGUGUACAUAGCAAAAAUUUCCUAAGGCUUGUUAACUUAGCAUAUUUCAGUAAAUUCUAUUUUACAAAUAAGAGAAUUGUAGUGUACAGUACAAAGUCUACAUUUGUCAUAAAAAUGAGAUCAAAGCUAAUUGCCCUUUUAUGAUAAGUAGUUGAAGAAAAUGAAUCUAGGCAAGAUGAUGAAGUAAAUGAAAUUUUUUUGUGGUUCCUGUCUCCCGUAAGAUGCCCAGUGAUCUUAGGUGGAUUUCUAUUCAAAAUAAAUUGUAAUAUAGGAUAGAAUACCAAUUUUGGAGUCAGGAAGACUUGAGUUCAAAUGUAGCCUGAAAUACUUAGUAGCUGUGUGACCCUGGACAAGUCACUUAGUCUUGUUUGCCUCAGCUUGCUCAAAUAUAAAAUGAGCUAGAGAAGAAAAUGACAUUCCGCUCCAAUAUCUUUGCCAAGAAAAAUCUAUAUGGGGUAGCAAGAGACACUACUGAAACAACAUUUGGAGUUGUCCAAAAGUGUAAUGGACUACUCAGGGAAUAGUAUUUUGUGUAUCAAUGAUGGCCUUAAUGCAUGUGACCACAUGUUGGUUUGUUAAAGAUGGAUUUUUUAAAAAUUGAGUAGAGCUUAAAUUAAAUAAAUUUCUAUGGUCC